AGUAGUUUGAGGAUCUUGCUGCUUUCUAUAUUUAAAUGUAAAUCCUUUAUUUUCCAACUCAGUUUGAACUGCUGAUGUCAGUCUGCCCACCUGAUAUGGUUUAGGUAUGUUGAACUACAACUCCCAACAUUCCUUUGUCAGCAUCUGGAGGGCACCAGUUUGGAGAAGUCUGACUUAUACGAAUGCCUAUAUUUAAGAUAUGAGUGCUGAAUUUCUCUUAAAGUCAUUGUGAACUCAUUGUCUUUUGUUAUUUCUUGUGUGUUAUAUUUGCAAAUAUAAUAUUAAAAAGAAGUUCCUUAAAAUAUAUUAAGGUAACAAAAUAUUAUGUGCAUAGAGCAUAUUCUUGUAUCCAGGGUUCAGCCCUGACAUUUAUAGUCAAACAAAUGAAGUAGCAGAAAAUGGGAAAAUCUUUAUCUAAAACUCAUUUCAGCCUCCGCAAGAACCGGAAAUAUCAGUGGGCUGACAAUAUCAGGCAGCUUCAUGGAUUCAUUCUGUUGUGAUUUUGUUACUGCCCAAUAACUAAAGUUCUUUGGGAAGUUGGCAAAAAUAACAAACCAAAAAAACAAGAUAACAAGACAUAGUAUGCAUUUUUAAGAUGUAAAUUUUAAAAUAUAGCAUUUAACAUAUAACAAUUUCAGUAAUAUGAUAGAUCUGAUAAAUGCAGCUGACAAAUGUUCCAUGAACUGUCAUUAAAUGCCUGGGAACUGGCAGUCUUACUGUGGUGCUGAAAAUAUGAUCUUGUCCCAGGCAAGUAUCAGUGGGAAGAUUAUUCCAUAAUCAAGGUGUAACCACUGAAACAGCUCUCCCCUUGGUUUCAGCUUUCAAAGCUUCUCUCGGAGGAAGCACUCUGAGAUGUUAAGCACAGUUUCAGGGUCCAUACUGGGAGAGACACUCCUUCAGAUAACCUAUUCUGCAAUGUCUAUUGCCUUUUGCUCUUGGAUGGAAAGAAAGAAGUUCUUCUUUUUUCACUGAAGCAAUUAUGGAUCAGAAUGCAUAAACUUAAGGGGACCAUAGCCUUUGUCUUGGAGCAAAUCUCUGCCUUUCAUUUACCUCAGUGGGCUACAACCUGGUUGAAUUAUGCUAGGUUGCAGUCAGUUAUGAAUAAUCCAUAUGGAAAUACCCUUAGAAUGACACUUGUAACGGCAAGGAAUGGAGAACUGGACGUGAAACAUUGGCGUGAAUGAAGCAGGGCACAACUUCAUUAAAUGUACAUGGUGAGAUCAUCUAAUAAUCUAAAUGAGAACUGUAAGGUGAGUUUGCCUAGACAACAACUUGAGAACACUCAGUUGCUUUUCUGAGCACUCUGUACUACUUUAUAAGUGAAAACUGUAAAUUCCUUGUUUUUACAGGAAAGGGUUAUGAUUCUUUUAAAAAGUAUUUAUUUAUUUAAAACUUUUGUAUGCCGUCCUAUAUAUAAAUAUCUCAGGAUGGCUUACAGCAAUUUGGCAAGGCAUGCUGGGAACUGUAGGCCUUUUUUUCCUGUCUAAACUUGCAUAGGAUUGUGCCUUUUGAUAUACUGUGUAUAUUUUGCACUAUGCAAUAUUGCUUGCAUUUAAGUCUUAUAGAUACUUUCCAGCUUAGUUGCAAAAUACUUUCCAGCUUAGUUGUAAAAUCUUAAGUUUGAUGAAGCAAAACACGUAGAGCUGAUUUAAAAGACGAAUCAAAUUCUUUCAAGCUACCCAGUAUUUUUUAUCCGCAUAAAAUAGUCAUUUAAAUCCUAAAGCAUGCUAAUAUCAGGAGAGCCUGCA
RNAcentral lists this long non-coding RNA (1748 nucleotides) under Varanus komodoensis (Komodo dragon). RNAcentral's name for it is "lncRNA (ENSVKKG00000000519.1)". Lineage: Eukaryota; Metazoa; Chordata; Lepidosauria; Squamata; Varanidae. The record is from RNAcentral.